This 849-nucleotide ribosomal RNA is filed under the name uncultured marine bacterium. RNAcentral's name for it is "bacterial SSU rRNA". It matches the Rfam family "Bacterial small subunit ribosomal RNA", at positions 38 to 884 of the family's 1533-position model. The record is from RNAcentral.
GGGCGCAGGAGCNACCGAUGCAGUCGAGGGGCAGCAUUCUGUGCUUGCCAGAGAUGGCGACCGGCGCACGGGUGCGCAACGCGUAUGGAACCUGCCCCUGUCGGGGGAAUAGCCCGGGGAAACCCGGAUUAAUGCCCCGUAGUAUCCCGUAGCGGCAUCGCUUUCGGGAUUAAAGAUUUAUCGGACAGGGAUGGCCAUGCGUACCAUUAGCUGGUUGGCGGGGUAACGGCCCACCAAGGCGACGAUGGUUAGGGGCCCUGAGAGGGGGAUCCCCCACACUGGUACUGAGACACGGACCAGACUCCUACGGGAGGCAACAGUGAGGAAUAUUGGACAAUGGGCGGAGGCCUGAUCCAGCCAUGCCGCGUGCGGGAAGACGGCCCUACGGGUCGUAAACCGCUUUUGUACGGGAAGAAACCUGUCUACGUGUAGAUAGCUGACGGUACCGUAAGAAUAAGGACCGGCUAACUCCGUGCCAGCAGCCGCGGUAAUACGGAGGGUCCGAGCGUUAUUCGGAAUCAUUGGGUUUAAAGGGUCCGUAGGCGGGCCGUUAAGUCAGGGGUGAAAUACUGCGGCUCAACCGUAGAGGUGUCCUUGAUACUGGCGGUCUUGAGUGACGGUGGGGCGGCCGGAAUAUGUGGUGUAGCGGUGAAAUGCAUAGAUAUCACAUAGAACACCGAUCGCGAAGGCAGGUCGCCAACCGUGUACUGACGCUGAUGGACGAAAGCGUGGGGAGCGAACGGGAUUAGAUACCCCGGUAGUCCACGCCGUAAACGAUGGACACUAGCUGUCGGGCCUUUGGGCUCGGCGGCCAAGCGAAAGUGAAAAGUGUCCCCACUGGGGAGUACU